This 961-nucleotide ribosomal RNA is filed under the name Hydatigera parva. RNAcentral's name for it is "large subunit ribosomal RNA". The stretch from base 644 to 919 matches the Rfam family "Bacterial large subunit ribosomal RNA", at positions 2074 to 2646 of the family's 2925-position model. Lineage: Eukaryota; Metazoa; Platyhelminthes; Cestoda; Cyclophyllidea; Taeniidae. The record is from RNAcentral.
UAUACUUUAAAAAGUGUUUAAUUUGAGUAUUUUGGUUAAUUUGCCUUUUGCAUCAUGCUUUGAGGAUUAGAAAGUUAAUUCUGGAAACCGAAAAGUUUAGAUCUUGAAAUUAUUAGUUUUGAACUUUGAUAUUAAUUUAGGUAAAGUUAGGAAAAAUAGUUUUAUGUUGUGAAAAAUUAGUCGUUAAAUUUUAUAUCUGUUAAACUGCUUAAUAUUGUAAUUAUAUAAAUAGUUAUAAGAUUAUUUAUAAGGUUAUAUUAUGAGUUGGGUUUCAUGAAAAUUAGGUUAAAGGUACCUGUUUUUUAAAAGGUUGUUAUAAAGUUAAGAAUUUGGUGGAGAAAUUAAUUUUAUAGGCAGUUAAAUGUAAUAGUUAGUAGUUUAUAAUCUCAUAAUAAGUAGUUUUAUUAUACUAAUUAUUUCUAAGGGUCUUUCCGUCUGUUUAUUAAAAACAUUUCUAACUUUAAGAAUAGUUGGUAGUGCCUGCUCAGUGCUUUGGUAAAUAGCCGCAGUAUAUUGACUGUGCAAAGGUAGCAUAAUUAAUUGUCUUUUAAUUGGGGACUUGUUUGAAAGGUUUGACGUGAUAGAUUAUAAUAUUUAGUAUAUAAUUGAAAUUGAUAAUGUUGGUUCAGAAUCCGCAUGAUUUAAUAAGACGGAAAGACCCUGGGAUCUUUAAGUUUUGCUUGGGGCAAGUUUUAUUGUUUUAAUAAAAUUGAGACCCUUGUUGGUUUAAUGAGUUAAGUUACCCCAGGGAUAACAGAGUAAUAAUUAAUAAGAGAUCUUAUCGAGUUAAUUGUUUGCUACCUCGAUGUUGACUUAGGUUAUGCUUAGGUGCAGUAGUCUAGGCUUUAGGUCUGUUCGACCUAGAAACCUCCAUGAGUUGAGUUUAGACCGGCGUGAGCCAGGUCGGUUCUUAUCUAUUGUAGGAAUUUAUCAGUACGAAAGGACAGUAAAUUUUUUUAUU